Molecule: long non-coding RNA, 3957 nt
Filed under: Homo sapiens (human)
Lineage: Eukaryota; Metazoa; Chordata; Mammalia; Primates; Hominidae
Description: MIR9-2 host gene
Rfam family: mir-9/mir-79 microRNA precursor family (bases 1469-1544)
Source: RNAcentral
AAAAAAAAACUGGAGGAAAAAAGAAAAAGAGAAGAAAAGGAUUUUAAAAAAAAGAAAAAAGCAAAAGAAGUUUCCAAAGAAAUGUGUGCUUUGCAUCCUACAAUAGGAAAAUGUAGCCAUUGCCUUCCUUCAGACGAGACAUUUCUAAUUUGUUCCGUCUGUCAGGAGGGGACUAUGAGAGGUUUGGGUGCAAAUUCAUUAUCUCUGGCAACGCAGAACGUAGUGUGGGGACUGAAAAAGACCGUGGCAAUGGAUGAACAAUAGGGCUUCAGUUCAUCAGUAACAAAAGCAGUGGGGAAAUUGGUUGAGUUUCAGAGCACGUCCUCCUCGGCAGAGGGGGCUGGACUAGACCUUGGACAGCCCCCCCAAAAACUUGCCAAGCCUCGCACACACCACUUCACUCUCCACUCCGAGGCUCAGGGAGCAAGUGCCUGGCAUGGGGGGUAAAAGUUGGCUUUUUUUUUACUCCUUGGUCUUUUGCGCCCUUCUCCCUCUCCCCAGAAGGGAAGACCCAUUUAAACUAUUUUAGACGCAAUCAACCAAGAAUCACCAUGUGGAAUUGAGCGGCAGUUUUAAAUGUGUUGAGCAGGGGAGAGGAAUGAUGAGAAAAACAUUUUUUUUUUUUUUUUUGGAGACGCCGAAAGAAGCCUGUUUGUGUGCUGCGGCCGUGCUGUGACUUUGGAUCUUGUCUUUCAGCCGGCGCCUCGGUUCCUGCCCAGCUGGAUUUGGGGGGCAGCAUUGCCUGGCGCAGGGAGAUCAAAUGAGACUGCAAAGAAGCAUAAAAUGAAUAGACAAUCCAACCAACCAAAGACCGGGGGCAGCAGCAGGCCAGCAAGACGGCAUCUUCUCCUUCCCAGCCUAGAAGCCCUGUGAAAUCGAGGAUCUUCCCCCUAAAACACAUACACACAAGAUAUGUGCAAUCAAGCUGCCACCGCUUGGUAAAAAGCCAUGGUGCCUAACCAAAAAGGAUCAGGAACAGAUCCUUGAAUCAGCUGUCACUUCUAUAGAAUGGGAUUUUUUUUUCCUUCCUCCUUAACCUGCGCUGGAAAUUGCCGUUGGCUUUAUACAUCUCUAUAGAGAGAGGCUAAAGAGUCUUGCGUGAGAAAGAAGCAAUUUACAAUGCAAAUAGAGGCCUGUGAAGGGACGGAUGCUGCUGCUCACUCGUAACAGCUUGCUGCACCUUAAUAGCUGGUUUUAUUUUCUGAUAUUAAUAGAUGAAUUGUUGGCUAACGCUGCCGGAGAUUACUUGCUGAAAGGAAAAAGAAAAGUUCGGAAUAAACUCUGAAGGCAACAGAUCUCGUUUGGAUGUUUUAGCCGCGCACACACACAAACAGAAACCAGGUCAUAUUUACAUAAAAGGAGGAAUCUUAAGCGCGGCAAGUAUCCUGGACGACCACUCUUCGGUACUGCCAGAAAGGAUCAGGACCUGGAGUCUGGCAAGAGGAAGACAGAGGCCUGUGUGGGAAGCGAGUUGUUAUCUUUGGUUAUCUAGCUGUAUGAGUGUAUUGGUCUUCAUAAAGCUAGAUAACCGAAAGUAAAAACUCCUUCAAGAUCGCCGGGGAGCGUGUGAGAAUGAAAGACUACAGCCGAGAGACAGUAAAAACCAGAAAGGUCAGGAAUACUUAUUGAAUCUAACUUUGUUUUUGUUUUGUUUUUUUCCUUAUGAUUAAAGGUGGGAUGAGAGAAAAUUAAAUGACACACACAUGCUAAAAUAUCAAGGUUCCAGAUAUGUCUUGAGAGGGGUUGUUGCAGCUGCAAAGGAGAAGUGUAUAGUGAUAAUGAGUAAAGAUGCAUGUGCAGUUUGUUCUAUUUUAAGGCAAAAGUUAUAUCAGGGAUUUUUUUCUUAGAAAGGUGUUGCAGAGAUGUCUGGUACCUAGUUUAAAAAUGAUUCCAUAAUAUGUAGACUUGGGCAGUUCCUUUGGGAGGCACCUCCCUCUCAAAAUUUGAAGAUUGUGCUUGGAAAUUACUUUACAUGUAUUUGGGCUGUAUGUCAAUUUGUACGAAAUUAGACUUUCAGAAAAGUUUAUACUGGAAGGUUAAUAAUUUGUAUCUACUGAGGACUUAGAGCUAGCAGGCAAAAUGAAAAAAAAAAAAAAAAAAGCAAGGGCUGAUUUUUAUUCUUCUAUUCAAAAUACAAGGACAGAUGCUUCUCUGUUCCAAGAGGGUUUCCUUGAGGAAGCUACUGAAGCAGAAAGACAUGAUGGAGACGAGAUCGCCUCCCCUCUUGUCAAAGUGUUAAAAAAAUGUUCUGUCUUACUCUGCGCCUAGCAUUGGAAAUGAAAGUGACAUUUACGCCACAACCCACGUGUGCGCCUCCUCUCUUUUUGUUUAAGGAUGAUCAGGUCUAUCCAGGAAACAGCUCUGGCAUCCCAAACUGAAAUAAUUAGGACGUAUAUAGACCUGACAAAAAUGGAAAGGGGGUGGGGAAUCUGAGGGUCUGUCUUGCCUAAUUGAUUCCGCUAAACGGAAUGCAGGAGAUGUGAACGGCAGGACGCUCCGAUUCCCACGCUCGGGGGCAAGUGAUAAAGCGGGGCCGGGCAGCCUAUGACAGACAGCCCUGUUGGGGGGUGGGGGUAUGAAAAAAACAUCAAGUGCACACACCAUACUCAUCUCCAUCGCUUAAGAAAGUAAAGGCAUUUCCCACCCACAGCCAUCUGCAGCUUCCCAAAUGGCAGCACCAACUGGUCUGUAGCUGCUACAUAGUCUGCUUCUGUUAAUUUUUUAACCACUGUUUAAUCUGGCCAUAAUUAAGUUUGGCUUUCUUCGUUGUUUGAGAUUUUCAGAAUUCAAGGCAAGCUAGUAGAAAGCAAUUCCAAGAAAGUCCCAUGACUGCCUGCCCCUAAUGUCAAAAUCUCAGUCCAUGAGAUUAUGGCCUUGUGACCACAUUUUUGCUUUUGUUUUGGGUGGGCAAAUGUGUAUAGAGAUAAAAUACAUAUCUCUAUAUAACAGUCGUUAUUAUAAUUUCAUGAGGCUUUUUACCUCUUAACAUGAUACAUCUAGGAACUUGGUCUAAUUGUGCUAGUAGAUAUACACUAGAAGUAAAACUAUAAAGUCAUUAGCCUGUAGAAAGUUGAUUAUGAUAACAAUAUGAUAAAAAGUUUGUUUUGGAAUAGUCUCAGCUAGAUGGGUCUAAAUAGCCAUUUUAAUGUAAUCUAAAAAUAACACUAUGCCUAGCAGAAACUUUGGCGCUUUGGAGGUCCCCAUUGUCGCCUUUUCAUAAAAGUCCUUAAGUUUUCCAUAUGUCACCAAGCAAACAUUUGUAUAGGCAUUUACACAGAAAUAUAACCAUUGCAAUUAGAAAAUAUCCAAAAUAGCCUGUUAUCUUCCACGUGGCCUAGAUUAUUGACAAUCCCAAAUAUACAAUUUUUCUUUAAAAGUAGUACAAUUUCCUUUGUAGCUUCAAUUCCUUAUAUGACUUCAGACUGGAGAAGCCUGUUAAACCACUGUUAGUUUCAGUUAGAAAGUCUGAGAGACUUUAUACAUAAAUUCUCAAUUUGGCUGCUGUACACGUGCCAGAGUUUUACUACUGUAGUGACCGUUGAGAAGACCCUUGUUUAUUUACAUUUGAAGCACUGUUUGUGCAAACAACCUUUCAUUGUUAAGUGCCUGUAUUCCUUUCAUUUACUUCAUGUCCAGGGGUGCUAUUUACCUAGAACCAUUGUCUACUACAAUUAACAUUUACAUUACAAAGUGUGUGGUUUUCUUUUUCAAGGAGGUUCAAUUAAGGCAAUAAGAUGUUUGCUGGAGAAACCUAUUGUUUACUGAAAGCACUCAAUGAAGUCAAAUUACUGAAGCUUUUGCCUACAUCUUGGUCUUUUAUGUAAAUAUGUUAAAUAUAACAUCUAAGGAAAAUAAACAAUAUUAUAAUUAUGUGUUUGCCAUUGUCAUAUCAAACUUGCUUUGUAUCAUACUAAUGUUACAUAACUUAUCGAUCAAUAAAAAUACAUUUCAAUGUUA